Molecule: ribosomal RNA, 497 nt
Filed under: uncultured bacterium
Lineage: Bacteria
Description: partial 16S ribosomal RNA
Rfam family: Bacterial small subunit ribosomal RNA
Source: RNAcentral
GAUGAACGCUGGCGGCGUGCCUAAUACAUGCAAGUCGAGCGAACGGACGAGAAGCUUGCUUCUCUGAUGUUAGCGGCGGACGGGUGAGUAACACGUGGAUAACCUACCUAUAAGACUGGGAUAACUUCGGGAAACCGGAGCUAAUACCGGAUAAUAUUUUGAACCGCAUGGUUCAAAAGUGAAAGACGGUCUUGCUGUCACUUAUAGAUGGAUCCGCGCUGCAUUAGCUAGUUGGUAAGGUAACGGCUUACCAAGGCAACGAUGCAUAGCCGACCUGAGAGGGUGAGCGGCCACACUGGAACUGAGACACGUUCCAGACUCCUACGGGAGGCAGCAGUAGGGAAUCUUCCGCAAAUGGCGAAAGCCUGACGGAGCAACGCCGCGUGAGUGAUGAAGGUCUUCUGAUCGUAAAACUCUGUUAUUAGGGAAGAACAUAUGUGUAAGUAACUGUGCACAUCUUGACGGUACCUAAUCAGAAAGCCACGGCUAACUACGUG